CUGAAGGGAGGGAGGGAAGGAACAGGAGCCCAAGAGCUCAGGACAUUCUACCCUCCCCAGGCAGGGAGCCGAAGCCAGGAGGAGGAAUUGGAACCGGCUGAACUGUUCAACCAUCAUCCAGCCCCCGGGACUGCCAGCCCUAGAUCUUCCUGCUGCUGCUGCUUCCACUGCUAGAGAAAUCGGAAUUUGCUGGGAAAAAAAACCGAACCAAAGCAAACCGAACCAAGAGCUUUUCAUCGCCCGGCCGAGGAAGGAAGGCAUGCUUCGCUGUUUCUGCUCCUCCUGUUUUCAUCCCCGUUAAAAGAUGCACUUUCUGUUGGAUGCUGUCACCGCGCUGAAU
RNAcentral lists this long non-coding RNA (340 nucleotides) under Naja naja (Indian cobra). RNAcentral's name for it is "lncRNA (ENSNNAG00000017041.1)". Lineage: Eukaryota; Metazoa; Chordata; Lepidosauria; Squamata; Elapidae. The record is from RNAcentral.